Molecule: small nucleolar RNA, 124 nt
Filed under: Hucho hucho (huchen)
Lineage: Eukaryota; Metazoa; Chordata; Actinopteri; Salmoniformes; Salmonidae
Description: Small nucleolar RNA SNORA84 (ENSHHUG00000030151.1)
Source: RNAcentral
GCCUGGUGGUUCCCAAAGACUGCCAUCCCAUGCUGGUUGCUGGGUUUUGAUUGACAGGCAUAAAUAAACUCUGAUUUGAUGCAUGGAUGCUUCAACUUGCCCUAGCCCGGUUGCAGAGACAUAA